ACACGUAGGGGGCGAGCGUUGUCCGGAAUUACUGGGCGUAAAGGGCGCGUAGGCGGUCUAAUAAGUCAGAUGUGAAACCCCCGGGCUUAACCCUGGGCUUGCAUUUGAAACUGUUGGACUUGAGGACAGGAGAGGAAAGCGGAAUUCCCAGUGUAGCGGUGAAAUGCGUAGAUAUUGGGAGGAACACCAGUGGCGAAGGCGGCUUUCUGGACUGCCCCUGACGCUGAGGCGCGAAAGCCAGGGUAGCGAACGGGAUUAGAUACCCCGGUACCCCGGUAGUCCUGGCCGUAAACGAUGGAUACUAGGUGUGGGAGGUAUCGACCCCUUCCGUGCCGUAGCCAACGCACUAAGUAUCCCGCCUGGGGAGUACGGCCGCAAGGCUGAA
Molecule: ribosomal RNA, 385 nt
Filed under: uncultured bacterium
Lineage: Bacteria
Description: bacterial SSU rRNA
Rfam family: Bacterial small subunit ribosomal RNA
Source: RNAcentral